This is a small nucleolar RNA of Microtus oregoni (creeping vole), 182 nucleotides long. RefSeq annotates it as small nucleolar RNA SNORA81. The transcript has a single exon. NCBI's taxonomy places the organism in Eukaryota, Metazoa, Chordata, Mammalia, Rodentia, Cricetidae. The record is from RefSeq and is a predicted model, not a curated record.
ACCUUCUUGUAUAAGCACUGUGCUAAAAUUGCAGAAACUAGGAUUGUAUCUUAGUUUUUGUAAUGAUGCUAGCAGAGUACACACAAGAAGAAAAGUAACUGACUGCACUGGAUCCCACAGACAGGGGUGGACCUCUUUCUUAAUGUCCAGUGUCCUUUGUCUUAAGAUUUGGUGCAAUAAGU